CGAUUUUCCACUGAUGAGCGCCUUUAUUUAAGUGAAGCAACGGCAAAAUUUGAUGUUACCACUUAAGUGGUCAACGCACGCACAGUCUGUAUGCUCCCGCUGCCAGAUUGCCAGGAAGUCGCACGGCUGGAGAUUACUGGCUAUUUAAAUUGAUACGGAUUACACUGCAUGCUGCGUUCUAUGCGCUUGCCGCACCCUCCGACUGUUCAAAAGCGGUAUUCAAAAGCGAGUUUUUAUGGCUUUUAAGCCGUAACCGUUCCGGUUAUACGACCAGCAUCGCGUGGAGCAGAUCCUCCAACAACAGCAGAUCAGUCCUGAGCCGCUCAAGCCCUAACCAACUUUACUGCCAAGCGCAGCGGAAGCUGUUUAUUUCACCUAUUGACGAAUUCCACCAUUCCCA
Paramacrobiotus metropolitanus is the source of this 400-nucleotide long non-coding RNA. RefSeq lists it as uncharacterized. NCBI's taxonomy places the organism in Eukaryota, Metazoa, Tardigrada, Eutardigrada, Parachela, Macrobiotidae. The record is from RefSeq and is a predicted model, not a curated record. The transcript has 4 exons.